CCCUUAGAUGUUCGGGGCCGCACGCGCGCUACACUGAAGGAAUCAGCACGUCUUUCUCCUUGUCCGAAAGGACUGGGUAACCCGCUGAACCUCCUUCGUGCUAGGGAUUGGAGCUUGUAAUUCUUCCCCAUGAACGAGGAAUUCCCAGUAAGCGCGAGUCAUAAGCUCGCGUUGAUUACGUCCCUGCCCUUUGUACACACCGCCCGUCGCUACUACCGAUUGGAUGGUUUAGUGAGAUCCUCGGAUUGGUCCCGGAGCGGCCUCUGGUCGUGCCGGAGUGCCGAAAAGAAUGUCGAACUUGAUCAUCUAGAGGAAGUAAAAGUCGUAACA
RNAcentral lists this ribosomal RNA (330 nucleotides) under uncultured eukaryote. RNAcentral describes it as "partial 18S ribosomal RNA". It matches the Rfam family "Eukaryotic small subunit ribosomal RNA", at positions 1470 to 1796 of the family's 1831-position model. The record is from RNAcentral.